UUCAUAUCUCACUUGCUUUUCCUGUAGAUCAUAAGGGGUUGCGCUAUAAGUGACGUGCGCUUUUCAUUCAAGACCCCACACGCUUUAUAACUUGAACUGUGUGUGCUUAAAUGACCAGGCUAUGGCAAAAUAUCGCAUUUGAAUUGUGGGGACCCCGACUCAUAAGUCGUGAUCACCUAAUGUACGUGCACAAUGAUCCCAGAGAUCAAUGC
RNAcentral lists this long non-coding RNA (212 nucleotides) under Hordeum vulgare. Its description in RNAcentral is "long non-coding RNA (HVUL_LNC001030)". The record is from RNAcentral. Lineage: Eukaryota; Viridiplantae; Streptophyta; Magnoliopsida; Poales; Poaceae.